RNAcentral lists this long non-coding RNA (2472 nucleotides) under Mytilus galloprovincialis (Mediterranean mussel). Lineage: Eukaryota; Metazoa; Mollusca; Bivalvia; Mytilida; Mytilidae. The record is from RNAcentral.
AAAUUUGAAAAUUGUAGGACAUCAAAUAUUGUCAAGUUACCCUCUCUUGCCGAUGGGUAUUUGCCUAAUGAUGUGUUAAUUCAGUUUAGAUGAAUUUAAUAUAAAGCUUUCUUUAGAAAAGUUUUAAAUUAAACAGAAUAAUAGUUACAUUGAUAUUAUGGUGACAGGCGUUCACUAAAUAAUAACGGCAAACAAGUAUUAGCAUAUGAAUGAUUUUUAACACAGUAGUUUGUGUAUAAAGUUUAUAAUACGUAACACGAUCAGACCAGAUGUCGUUGACAUCGAUUAGGAAAGAUGAUUCGACCAGUUGGGUUAGUGCGUGUAUUAGUCGUCAUUUCUGCUAUUUCAGCGAUUCUGCCGAUUCUUCUUGUAUUGAGGACACAAAGUUGUGAGUUUCAUUUUUACAAAAUUAUCUUUGGUUCAAUUAGAUACAUGUUAUAUUAUUUUCCCGAAUUAUUUAUAGUUCAUGGCUAUACUUUUUGUAUUAUGAUGUUUAGCAAACAACCUGUUCAAAUCAGUGUGGUCGCUGACAAUUGACUUUUAAAACAUGCUGAAUGUACAUUAUUUCUUUCUUUUGUGGGUGGUUGUUUCAAUGUAAAUUUGACUUAAAAAAGUCUUUUUGCAAUACAAAUACAUAUUGAUAUGUCAUUACAUAUUACAACAUUGUCAUCUUAUAUCUGCCUUGGUUUAAAAUUACUUAUAUAAAAAGGGCCAAUAUUGAGAUGUAACAGUUGUUGCAUUCGUUGCAUUCAGUCGUAGUCAUUAAUAUAACAGAAAAUGUGGUAACAAAAUAUUUUAUAUUUUCCACCAAACACACACCUUGAUCAUACUUCUUGAAAUAUGGAUUUGUAUGCCCCAUUUAUGGACAUUAUGUUUUCUGGUCUGUGCGUCCGUUCGUUCAUCCGUUGUACCGUCCGUUCGUUCGUCCGUUCGUUAGUCCGUCCCGCUUCAGGUUAAAGUUUUUGGAAUAGGUAGUUUUUGAUGAAGUUGAAGUCCAAUCAACUUGAAACUUAGUAAACAUGUUCCCAUUGAUAUGAUCUUUCUAAUUUUAAUGCCGAAUUGGAGUUUUUACCCCAUUUUCACGGUCCAUUGAACAUAGGAAAUGAGUGUGGAUGGGGCAUCCGUGUACUGGGGACAGUCACAUGCUUGUUUGUGUUGAAUAAGGAUUUUGUUAACUUUUAAGUAGUUUGCUUCGUUAGAUGUCUUUUUGGUAGUCAGUCACAAUUUCCUGCCUUGCUUUCAUAUACUGGUCCAUUGGGCCGGGUGUAUUAAUAUUUAUCAUAAAUGGUAUGUUUAUAAUCUAUACAUAUUGAUACAUGUCACAAUAAUAAAUAAUUUACUUACUUAUACUACAGUGAUAUGCAUUUAUGAUAAGGCAAUGGUAUUUAGCAUGCAGUUGUCAUCAGUGGCGGAUCCAGAACUUUUCCUAAGGUGUGGGGGGGCAGCUCCAGUCAUGCUUCAAUGAUUCCCUAUAUAAUCCCCCCCCCUGGAUCCGCCUAUGGUCAUAAUGAUCAGCGUUGAUAUGAGAUUACUUCGUCCUUCAUCCCAUUCAUGGCUCAUUUACUUUUAAAAAGUUAAUGCGUUGCCAUUUUAGACAAGCGAGACAUUUCCCUGUGCAUGUACAUGUAACUGUUAUUUAAAGAAAGGCAAUUAAGGGAUUAAAUCAAUUCUGAAAUGUUUAUUCUACAUCUGAAAUUUCAGCUUGCAUUUGGUUGAUAUAAACUAUAAAGUAAAUAACCUAUUUAUGAUCAUUUAUUUAUUCACAAGAUUUACCAACAAAAUGCAGUAGGUUGUCUAAAUAAAUCCGCGGGCCUAGUGUAAAAAAAAAUCGCCAUACGACUCUGAGGGGCGUUUUCCUAAAGGGAAAAUAUACAAACUAACAUUGGGCUUGGUAUUUUUGGUGAUAUUUGAAAGAACUGAAAACUGCAUAGGUAAUUCAUGUAAGAAAUAUGCCCAAAAAAAUUAGUGAUUUUUAUUCGAGAAUAGUUUCAUUCUGCCAGUAUACUUUAUUCGAAGGAUGGAAAUUCCUAGUAUUUUAUUUGUACCAACAAAAACGCUAAUCAGUUAUAUAAUGUACAUUAUUUUUCAGUUUUGACUAUUCCACAACAUAUCAGAGACGAGAUCACUGCAAGACAAGUACUCAGCCUGGUAUGGUUAAUAAGUAAAUUAAUUGAAAGAGAUACGAAAUAAACACCAUGAUACAAAAUGAUCGAAGUAAACAUCAUGAUAAAAAAUGAACGAAAUAAACAUCAAGACAAAAAAUGAAGGAAGUAAACACCAUGAUAAAAAUGAACGAAGUAAACACCAUGAUAAAAAUGAAGGAAGUAAACACCAUAAUAAAAAAUGAAGGAAGUAAACACCAUGAUAAAAAAUGAACGAAGUAAACAUCAUGAUAAAAAAUGAAGGAAGUAAACACCAUGAUAAAAAUGAACGAAGUAAAAACACCAUGAUAAAAAUGAACGAAGUAAACAC